RNAcentral lists this ribosomal RNA (759 nucleotides) under Neisseria cinerea. RNAcentral describes it as "bacterial SSU rRNA". It matches the Rfam family "Bacterial small subunit ribosomal RNA", at positions 28 to 776 of the family's 1533-position model. The record is from RNAcentral. Lineage: Bacteria; Pseudomonadati; Pseudomonadota; Betaproteobacteria; Neisseriales; Neisseriaceae.
AUUGAACGCUGGCGGCAUGCUUUACACAUGCAAGUCGGACGGCAGCACAGAGAAGCUUGCUUCUUGGGUGGCGAGUGGCGAACGGGUGAGUAACAUAUCGGAACGUACCGGGUAGUGGGGGAUAACUGAUCGAAAGAUCAGCUAAUACCGCAUACGUCUUGAGAGGGAAAGCAGGGGACCUUCGGGCCUUGCGCUAUUCGAGCGGCCGAUAUCUGAUUAGCUAGUUGGUGGGGUAAAGGCCUACCAAGGCGACGAUCAGUAGCGGGUCUGAGAGGAUGAUCCGCCACACUGGGACUGAGACACGGCCCAGACUCCUACGGGAGGCAGCAGUGGGGAAUUUUGGACAAUGGGCGCAAGCCUGAUCCAGCCAUGCCGCGUGUCUGAAGAAGGCCUUCGGGUUGUAAAGGACUUUUGUCAGGGAAGAAAAGGCUGUUGCUAAUAUCAGCGGCUGAUGACGGUACCUGAAGAAUAAGCACCGGCUAACUACGUGCCAGCAGCCGCGGUAAUACGUAGGGUGCGAGCGUUAAUCGGAAUUACUGGGCGUAAGGCGAGCGCAGACGGUUACUUAAGCAGGAUGUGAAAUCCCCGGGCUCAACCUGGGAACUGCGUUCUGAACUGGGUGACUAGAGUGUGUCAGAGGGAGGUAGAAUUCCACGUGUAGCAGUGAAAUGCGUAGAGAUGUGGAGGAAUACCGAUGGCGAAGGCAGCCUCCUGGGAUAACACUGACGUUCAUGCUCGAAAGCGUGGGUAGCAAACAGG